UGUUGAAGCUCGAAAGCCCAAAGUGGGGUGACCUUGGUGCUUGGUGUGCUUGGACAACCAAUGAAUACAGCACAGCUCAAGGGUUCCACCUGAGGGAGAAAAGAACACUGGAAAAGACAACCUGUUAUUUUAAAAUCAGCAUUGAGGAGUUCCUACUGUGUGCAUGUGGCGUUAGAGCAGAAACACUGCAAAGAGCAACCCAAGAUGAAGGCAGAUCCAUCCAAUGAAGAAGUCACUCAAGAAAUAGUUGUGGGAAGCACUGAAAAAACAGAAUUUGCAGGCAGGAAUGUUGGCAUAUCCUUUGAAAAGAAGAAAAAUUGUUUCCAGAGGAGAAAGGAAGCAAGGUAGCAGAAAUAUGAAGAGAAACCUCACAGCUUCAAGUCCAAACGAGAUAUUCCUCAAAAAUGACUUCUGUCCUGAUUAAUUUGCUAAAAAUAGAUCAACAUCUUCCAGUAAAAACUCUCUAUUAAAAAGAUGCUGGCCAGCAAAAGUAUCACAACUUGUGCCUGUGCAUGGCUUCCUGUUUUCCAAAGGCCUCCACAAAACCUUCUGCUUUGUUUCCCACAGGACUUAUUCCAUGCAUGUUUUAGAUGUAUUUUUCCAUGGGUAGAAGAAGCUGGGACACACCCUCAAUGGGGAAACACUAGGCCUGUUCAUUGCCAUCUGAUUUCAAAAGGCUUUCCAGCCCUGAUGGGCUGGUGGGAUUUUUCCUGGGUGGUGGUGUUUCUGUGUGUAGCAGCGUGUGCCCUGUGCUGGAAGGGCCAGUGUGGCCCUUGGGGAGUGUGGUAUGAAGAGCCACGUGGCAGCAUUAAAUUAACUGAUGGAAAAAGAGCACUUACCUUUGCUGGAUGGCAUUUGAAAUUUCUAACAUGUUGCACAAACACAAAUUACCCUUUGUGCUCCCCAAAAAGAUAAAAACUGCUGCUCUUACAAAGCCAGGAGGGGUAAGAGCCAUGAUACAGUUACUACUGUGUCUAUCUCUCUUCCAGAUCAUAGGAUGAUAGAAUGGUUUUGGUGGGAAGGGACCUUAAAGAUCAUCUAGUUUUAAGCCCUCUGCCAUGGGCAGGGAUGGCACUCACUAGA
Molecule: long non-coding RNA, 1083 nt
Organism: Pipra filicauda (Wire-tailed manakin)
Lineage: Eukaryota; Metazoa; Chordata; Aves; Passeriformes; Pipridae
Exons: 3
Source: RefSeq, a predicted model, not a curated record